AACUUGGGUUGUGCCACUGGACACCCUAGCUUUGUGAUGUCCUGCUCUUUCACCAACCAAGUGAUUGCUCAGCUUGAGUUGUGGAAUGAGAGGAAGAGCGGCAAGUAUGAGAAGAAGGUCUAUGUCUUGCCUAAGCACCUUGAUGAGAAGGUUGCUGCUCUUCAUCUUGGAAAGCUCGGAGCCAAGCUCACCAAGCUCAGCAAGGAGCAGGCUGACUAUAUCAGCGUUCCAAUUGAGGGUCCAUACAAGCCUGCUCACUACAGGUACUGAAAGGCCUGCAGGAAGAAGAGAACUGAGAAGAACAUUAUACCUGGACGGGUUGAAUUUUUUUUCUUAUUAUUUUUUUGUUGGUUUCAUUUACGUUGCGAACGGAUUGUGCUAGAACUCUAGGUGCUUAAUUUUGUUAGUAGUUUUUGUGGUCGGGAAGGUAUGGUCGGGAAAGCUAUGGAUGAUUUGGUCUCACUUGAAGACCUGGGAUGCGGUUUGAAUAACGAUUGAAAGGUGGGAUGUGUGGGAUAUAUCUGGUGCAGUAUUUGUUUUGCUGCAUCUGAUUAUCCAUUUACUAGCACGAAAACGAGUUCUAGAAAAAGAAAAUGAACUAAAUUGCUUCAUUUUGAAAUUUUGUUCC
RNAcentral lists this long non-coding RNA (628 nucleotides) under Fragaria vesca (wild strawberry). RNAcentral describes it as "long non-coding RNA (FVES_LNC001946)". The record is from RNAcentral. Lineage: Eukaryota; Viridiplantae; Streptophyta; Magnoliopsida; Rosales; Rosaceae.